This 211-nucleotide long non-coding RNA is filed under the name Lathyrus oleraceus (garden pea). RNAcentral describes it as "Pisum sativum (pea) long non-coding RNA (PSAT_LNC010735)". The record is from RNAcentral. Lineage: Eukaryota; Viridiplantae; Streptophyta; Magnoliopsida; Fabales; Fabaceae.
GUUGUUGGUAUUGUUGUUGUUGUAUGUGUUCGUUCUUUGUUGCGGUUGUUGUUGUUGAUAUUGAUGUUGCUGUUGUUGUUAAAUUGGUGUUGCUUGUUGAUUAUAAAAUACAGAAAUUACUGAUGACACUUGAUGAUGAUGAUGUUGACGGGGUGAUGGAUUUCUUCUGAUCUGAGGCCUCCUCUACCUCCCACUGAUUACUACGUUCGCU